Molecule: unclassified non-coding RNA, 6934 nt
Filed under: Hevea brasiliensis (rubber tree)
Lineage: Eukaryota; Viridiplantae; Streptophyta; Magnoliopsida; Malpighiales; Euphorbiaceae
Source: RNAcentral
GAAAGCUGGCAGUGGCAGACUCAAGUGUUUUAGGGUUUAAGGCAGCUCUGAGUUAUCAAUUUUGUAUUUGACACUUGAGGUUUUUAACUCUUUUUUCUUCUAUCAAAGCUUUUUGUUCCUGCACUUGUGAUAAACAACCCAAAAACACCAUGGCCACAACCAUAGCUUCGCAGUUGCAGGCAAUUAGGUCUGUCAUACAAGCCGAUUCGGAGCCCCAAAAGCGACCCAUCACUCGGCCUUCUAUUCUGUUCGAUCCUAAAGAAGCUGCCGAUAUUGAUAUUGAUACCAUACUCAGUAUUGCACAUUCAGGUUUGGAAGUUCUUAUAAGUGUGAACGAUCGCUUUAGAAACUAUAAGAAUGAUCUGUUCAGUCAUAAAAGUAAAGAAUUGGAUAGAGAAAUGAUGACUCAAGACGAAAAUAACAGUAUUAAUGCUACCAUUGGUUCGUACCUGAAGUUACUCUCGGGACAUCUUCAACUACCUGCUUCCCACAAGACACUUGAAUAUUUGAUACGCAGAUACAAGAUUCACAUAUACAAUGCUGAGGAUUUGAUUUUAUGUGCCUUGCCAUACCAUGACACACAUGCUUUUGUCCAAAUAGUUCAGCUAAUCGACACAAGAAAUAGUAAAUGGAAGUUUUUGGACGGUGUCAAAGUCUCGGGUGCACCACCUCCUAGAAAUGUUGUGGUGCAGCAGUGUAUUCGGGAUAUGGGAGUUUUGGAGGCUCUGUGCAAUUAUGCAUCUCCAACAAGAAAGUUUCAAUCUUCAAGACCUGUCAUCAGCUUUUGCACAGCAGUUAUUAUUGAAGCUUUGGGUUCUUUAACCAUUGUUAAUAGCGAUGUUGUGAAGAGAAUGCUUCCAUUUGUAGUUUCUGGGCUUCAGCCUGUCACCAAAGUAGGUUCAGAUCACAAGGCUGGUGCUAUGAUGAUUGUUGGUUUGCUAGCAAAUAAAGUUGCAUUGGCUCCUAAGCUUGUUAAAAGUUUGAUUCGGUCGAUUUCUGAGAUGGUUCAUGAGGAUGCAAAAGAGUCAACUGAUCUGCAAUGGCUUCGUUUAUCACUUAUGGCUUUAAUUAACCUUGUUCAGUUGCAGUCAAUGGAUACAUUUCCGAAGAAAGCUUUGGACAUUUUGAAGGAAACUGGGGAUAUUGUGGGAGUUCUUUUAGAACUCUCUAAAGAGUUCAAUAUUGAUAGGUUCCUUUCUGUGCUUUUGGAAUCUCUGGUUGACAACAGUUCUUCUGAUGAUGCAAGUUGUCGCACUUUGAUAUCCAUUAUAGAGACUGUUCCAGUAAAGAAUUUUGUUGAACACUUGGUAUCAAGGGUCCUCUUAUCUUGCAUAAAAAUGACACAGAGAAAUGACAAUCCAAUACCAUCUGAAUCAGGGAGCUGGGCUAAGAUGAUUUUGAUGGUUGUUAAUAAGAAUUAUCCAUCUGAACUUCAUCAAGCAGUUCACAAAUUCUUGGAGGAUACCAAAACCCAAUCCAAGAAAGAUGUUGCAGUAUUUGAAACUUUAUGUAAGAUGUUGGAUGGGAACUUGGAUCUGUCAGUGGCUACAUCAGAUUCUAAAAUGUGGUUAGGUCUGCACCAUCCAAAGGCCGAAGUCCGACGUGCUACACUGUCUGGUUUAAAGACAUCUGGCGUUUUGAAAACCUCUGGCAUUGAUUCCCAGAGGCUUGUAAAUAUUCGAGAUGCAAUAUUACGCCAGCUUUAUGAUGAUGAUCUGACUGUUGUUCAAGCAUCUUUAUCUCUUGAGGGAUUGUCCAAAAUAAUCAGCGCUUCUGAUUUUCUUGAAGCAUUGGAUAACGUACUUAAAAGAUGUGGUGGCACCAAAUGGUCAAAUAAAUGUACUCUGCUUGGUGAUGUGGUUGUUUCAUUCUUGAAGAUUGCUAUCUCAACCUUCCAUGAUCAGGCUGAUUAUUCAAAGAAACUUGCUGCCAGGAUAUUUCCUUUACUCCUAAUUUUCCCCAAGACUCAGAGGCUAAAUUUGAAGGUUUUGGAAUUAGUAAAGGAAAUGGACUGGCCAUUGUACCAUAAUCUUAAUGGUAUCCCCACUGAAGAAAUGAAUUUGCAACGUGAAAACAUAUCGGUAGUUAAUAUGAAGAUUGUUAGCAGCUUGGCUGAAACAUUGACAAUGCACCCUGAUGAAUAUGCAUCUUGGCUUAUCAAGAGCCAAAACGACUUUAGUUCAUCCAAGACACUUUUCUUCUUGGUUGUGAUGCAGUCAUUUCUAAAUUCAAAGAAAGAUAGUGGGCAGUUUUUGGCACUUUUUGAAGCUUGCUUCCCUGUUUUAAAGACUGAGUGGGAAGUUUUUGAGUCUGCUGCUGAUAUUUAUGAGAAUGAGUUUAAUAAGGAGAUGAUACACUGGGACUGCCAAAGAUUCUUAGAUCAGCUAGUUGAUUCUGAUGCCAAUGCAUUAAACGCAGACAUUCUAAUUUGUGUCUUUUGGAGGUUACUGGAGGUGUUUUCUUCAAUAGCAACUGCCGAUGUCUUGUUGGAUGAUAAUGGCAAGUGGUUAAGCAGCAAAUGUAGGGAAUUGUUUGUCUUCUUUGCGAGCUCUCAAUGGAAGCAUGUUUUUAAGGAGCAUCUUCAUUACCUUGCUACAAAGUGCAAGAUCUCUCCUAUUAAUUUUCUAUCUGGGUUUUUCACAGAUGAAGAUAUUCCUGUUGCUGUCCAAGUUGAGAGUCUUCACUGUCUUGCGUUUCUUUGUAUGGAACCUGAUGAUAGAUUGCUGUUUCAACUUCUGGCCAAUUUUCCUUCACUUCUUGUUCCACUUGCCAGUGAUAGCCAGGAUAUGAGAAUUGCUGCCAUGGGCUGCAUUGAAGGACUCUAUGCACUUUCACGUCGUGUUGACUAUUUAAGCAAGAAAAAUGGGAACAAUGCAAAUUGGAGUCAUUUCCUUGAAGAACUUUUGGGUUUAAUUGUCCAACAAAAAAGGGUUAUAUUAUCAGACAAGAACUUUCUACCUUCUUUGUUGACUUCCUUGCUUGGCUCAUCACGUGGUAGUCUUCUAGUGCCACAAAAUGUUGAACAGAGAUUUGAUAAACCUACGAAGGAAAAGGUUCUUGCUUUCGUCUUGGGUUAUGCUCUUCAACUUUCUGCACAUGCAAAGCUAAUGAUUAUAUUUUUGCUCAAAGGAUUGGGGAAUAUGAUAAUGUGCAUUAAAGAUGUUGAAGUGUUUUUGUCCCAACUUCUGACAAGACGCAAACAAUUUUAUUUUGAGGCAGACAAGUCAUUCCAUAAAUUGUCCAAAACUGAAGUCAAGAUCUUGUGCCUUUUACUGGAGAUCUGUGCUACACCACCUUCUUCAUUUGAGGGAUGUGCUUUUGAAGAUUAUUUAUUGGAGGCUCUGCACUUGGACGGUCACUCUUUGGAAAAAUAUGCCAUUGCAGAACCUUGUAUUACCGUUUUGCAGAAGCUAACUUGUCAAUUUUACAGUGGCUUGACGACUGAGAAACAGGGGCUACUGUUUCGUGAGCUUGUGGUUUUGUUCCGGAGUGCUAAUAUUGAUAUACAAAACGCAACCAGAGAAGCCUUGCUGCGUUUGAAUAUUACUUGCUCUACGGUUGUCCAUGCACUUGAUUUUAUAUUCAAACAACAUAGUGGCAAAACUGAUUCAGCAUAUGGGAGGAAAAAGAAGAAGAAAUCAAUGGCGCAUCAAACGUCAACGUCAGAUCAUAAUUUGGUUUGUAAGGGGGAAACUGAUUUACAUUCACUGAGCUCCCUGCUUGACAUAUUGAUACUGAAGAAAGAUAUGGCUAACAGGGAAUCUCUUAUUGGGCCUUUGUUUGAGCUUCUUGGAAAAAUGUUUUCAGAUGAGUGGGUACUCAUUCAAGAUAAAAACUGGGUUCAAUCUUCUUCUGGCUUUUCCCAGACCAUGUCCAGUACAGUGCGUUACAUUCAGCAUGCGCUCUUAUUAAUACUGGAAGAUAUUAUUGCUUCAUCUGUAAAAACUGUCCCACUAAAGGAUGACAUACCAAAUAAAAUAGACAUCAAAAUGUUGGUUGAGUGUUCCCGUUCUGCAAAGGAUGGGGUCACGCGCAACCAUAUAUUCUCACUGUUAUCCUCAAUUAUAAAGGUCAUUCCAGACAAGAUGUUGGAACAUAUAUUGGAUAUACUUACUGUUAUUGGAGAAUCAACUGUUACUCAGAUUGACAACUACUCGCAACGUGUGUUUGAGGAUCUUAUAGCUGCAGUUGUUCCCUGUUGGCUGGUAAAGACAAACAACCCAGAGAAAUUGCUCCAGAUUUUUGUGAAUGUGUUGCCUGCUGUGGCUGAGCAUCGGAGGUUGUCAAUUAUAGUGUACCUGUUAAGGAAAUUGGGAGAACGUAAUAGCUUGGCUUCCCUGCUUGUCCUUCUUUUCCAGUUGUUAGUUUCAAGGAAAGGACUAUCUUACCUUGAGGAUACACAAACUUCAGAUGGUCUUACAUCUUUUGUAAAACGAGAGUGGGAGUAUGCUUUUGCUGUGCAGAUAUGUGAGCAAUUUUCAUGCAUGAUAUGGCUUCCAUCCAUUGUUACGCAGCUUCAACUUAUAGGAACUGGUCAUUUAUGCCAAGAACUGUUCAUGCAAUUGCGAUUUGUAAUGGAGUUCAUUUUGCAAAAAUUGCAAGAUCCAGAAUUAUCUUUCAAGCUUGAAUCAACUGAAGAUUCUGAUAGCAUCCAGACAACUCUUCAAGAACUCAUGGAGCAUGUCGUUUUUCUUUUACAACUUGUUGACACAAGAAGAAAGCAAAUAAUUUGUCCUGUUAUGAUAAAGAAAGAAUUAAAAGAGUGUAUGUGUGCCGUCUUGAGGACUAUCACAACAGUUAUGAGUCCUGCAUCAUACUUUAGAGGGAUCAUCAAUUUGCUUGGCCAUUCAGAUGGAAAUGUGCAAAAGAAGGCUCUUGGACUUCUUUGUGUGACAUUAAGGGACCUUGAGUCAAUUAAUUCAAGGCUUAAGGGAAGAAGGGAACUAAAUGCAAGAUCAGGUGCUAAUUGGCUCCAUAUGGAUGAGACUGCUAUUGAAUCUUUUCAUAAGAUGUGUUUGGAAAUUGUUCGUUUAGUUGAUGAUAUGAUAGAUGAAGUUGAUACUUCAUUGAAACUUUCAGCAGUUUCCACACUGGAAGUCUUGGCUCACAGCUUUUCUUCUGAUUAUUCUAUCUUCAGCAUUUGCCUUCCCUAUAUAACAAGAGGAAUUAGUUCACACGACCUGGCCAUUUCUACUGGCUGCCUUCGAACGACUGGUGCUUUGGUUAAUGUGCUUGGACCAAAAUCAUUAACUGAGCUUCCUAGAAUAAUGAAAAAUGUGGUUAAAUUAUCUCAUGAAAUCAGUUCUCGAAGCGGUGAUGAAAACAACUCUGUUGCACUAUCAACUUCAAAAGAAUCUUUCAUGCAGUCUAUUCUUGUCACUUUGGAGGCAGUUGUGGACAAUCUUGGUGGCUUUUUAAAUCCAUACCUUGAAGAGGUUAUAGGACUAAUGGUUCUUGGUCCUGAGUAUACAACAGAAUCCAAACCAAAGCUGAAAUCGAAAGCUGAUGUAAUACGGAGGCUCCUUACUGAGAAAAUCCCUGUUCGACUUGCACUCCCUCCUUUGCUGAAGAUAUAUUCUGAUGCUGUGGUGUCUGGGGAUCCAAGUGUGGCAAUUACUUUUGAAAUGCUAGCUAGAUUAGUUAGUAAGAUGGAUAGAUCAUCUGUUGGUGGUCACCAUGGAAAAAUUUUUGACCUCUGCUUGUGUGCUCUUGAUCUUCGUCGUCAACACCCUGUUUCAAUUCACAACAUUGAUAUUGUUGAAAAAAGUGUCAUCAGUGCUAUGAUUUCUCUGACAAUGAAACUUACCGAGUCCAUGUUCAGGCCUCUCUUUAUCAGUAGUAUUGAUUGGGCAGAGUCACGUGUGGGAGAAAUUACCAAUGGGGGGAGUGUAUCUGUGGACAGGUCCAUUGCCUUGUAUGGUCUGGUGAACAAGCUUGCUGAGAAUCAUAGGUCUCUUUUUGUCCCUUACUUCAAGUACUUGCUUGAGGGUUGCAUACGGAAUCUUUUGGAUGCUGCAGAUGGGAAAGGUGCUGGCUUGAUUCGAAAGAAAAAGAAAGCCAAGAUUCAGGAAGCAGGAAAUGAUUUAAAAGACAAAAACAGUGUGUUAUCACUAAAAAGUUGGCACCUAAAGGCAUUAGUCAUAUCAGCUUUACAUAAAUGUUUUCUGUAUGACACUGGGAGCACAAAAUUUCUUGACUCAUCAAAUUUCCAGGUUCUCUUAAAACCCAUCGUCUCACAGCUUGCUGUGGAACCACCAACUUCUCUAGAAGAAAAUCCAAACAUACCAUCUGUUAAGGAAGUUGAUGAGUUGUUGGUAGUUUGCAUUGGUCAGAUGGCUGUUACUGCAGGAACUGACGUUCUAUGGAAGCCCCUGAACCAUGAGGUAUUAUUGCAAACCCGGAGCGAGAGGGUGCGGUCUCGAAUUUUAGGGCUGAGAAUUGUCAAACAUCUUUUGGAUAAUCUGAAAGAAGAGUACCUUGUAUUCUUGCCUGAAACCAUCCCCUUCCUGGGUGAGCUGCUGGAGGAUGUGGAGCUACCUGUGAAAUCUCUGGCACAGGAUAUUCUCAAGGAGAUGGAAUCCAUGAGUGGGGAAAGCCUUAGGCAAUACCUUUUGUGAUACUGAACAUCCGGUGUUUGGUGAGUGAUAUGGGUCGGUGGAUAUUCUAUGUCAUUCUCACGAGUUGAUGCAUGUAAUUCUAUAUUUACUGUGGGAAAAAUGUAAAUUAUAAAUUUUGUAUUUAUAGAUAGAAGAUUUAGGUCAAUCAACAAGCUGAAGCUUGCUUGGUUUGAGUGAGUUGAGGAUGCGUGAAAAUGCCAUGGUUGUAAGCUCCAGUGACGAAAAUAUGUUCUGUAUCAACCAAUGGCUUACAGAAACAUUCAGCAGUUCAUAUUAUCGAGCAAUUUUUAACUCUCUCUAUACAUGAUUCACUUUUA